This 290-nucleotide long non-coding RNA is filed under the name Elaeis guineensis (African oil palm). RNAcentral's name for it is "long non-coding RNA (EGUI_LNC059179)". Lineage: Eukaryota; Viridiplantae; Streptophyta; Magnoliopsida; Arecales; Arecaceae. The record is from RNAcentral.
UGGGCAAAUGAGUCUUGGAUCUGUGGUGUAGAGACACUGGGGUGAAGAUGCAGGUGGUUGUUGGAAAAUAACUUGCAUUGAGCGUGACCAACAUGAGAACCACAUAGAUGUCUACUCACUCAUCAGUGAUCUUCUCGAUGCUACAGUAGUGUGAGUGAUCCUUUGAUCUAUAGUGUCAUUGACUAUUCACAGUGAGGCUACUGGGUUUGAUUGCAUAUUUUCUUGGUUCCUAGCCAUUCAGGUUCUUGAUGUGUAUGUUGGCUUCAGUAGAUUUAGAUUCACUGUUUGGA